This 433-nucleotide ribosomal RNA is filed under the name uncultured bacterium. RNAcentral describes it as "partial 16S ribosomal RNA". It matches the Rfam family "Bacterial small subunit ribosomal RNA", at positions 29 to 507 of the family's 1533-position model. The record is from RNAcentral.
AACGAACGCUGGCGGCAGGCCUAACACAUGCAAGUCGAGCGAGGACUUCGGUUCUAGCGGCGGACGGGUGAGUAACGCGUGGGAAUGUGCCCUUCUCUACGGAAUAGCCCUGGGAAACUGGGAGUAAUACCGUAUACGCCCUUUUGGGGAAAGAUUUAUCGGGGAAGGAUCAGCCCGCGUUGGAUUAGGUAGUUGGUGGGGUAAUGGCCUACCAAGCCGACGAUCCAUAGCUGGUUUGAGAGGAUGAUCAGCCACACUGGGACUGAGACACGGCCCAGACUCCUACGGGAGGCAGCAGUGGGGAAUCUUAGACAAGGGGGGCAACCCUGAUCUAGCCAUGCCGGGUGAGUGAUGAAGGCCUUAGGGUUGUAAAGCUCUUUCAGCUGGGAAGAUAAUGACGGUACCAGCAGAAGAAGCCCCGGCUAACUCCGUG